This 550-nucleotide ribosomal RNA is filed under the name uncultured Methanosarcina sp. Its description in RNAcentral is "bacterial SSU rRNA". It matches the Rfam family "Archaeal small subunit ribosomal RNA", at positions 93 to 641 of the family's 1478-position model. Lineage: Archaea; Methanobacteriati; Methanobacteriota; Methanomicrobia; Methanosarcinales; Methanosarcinaceae. The record is from RNAcentral.
GUAACACGUGGAUAACCUGCCCUUGGGACCUGCAUAACCCCGGGAAACUGGGGAUAAUUCGGGAUAACGCAUAUGUGCUGGAAUGCUUUAUGCGUAAAAAGGAUUCGUCCGCCCAAGGAUGGGUCUGCGGCCUAUCAGGUAGUAGUGGGUGUAAUGUACCUACUAGCCGACAACGGGUACGGGUUGUGAGAGCAAGAGCCCGGAGAUGGAUUCUGAGACAUGAAUCCAGGCCCUACGGGGCGCAGCAGGCGCGAAAACUUUACAAUGCGGGAAACCGUGAUAAGGGGACACCGAGUGUCAGCAUCAUAUGCUGGCUGUCCAGGUGUGUAAAAUACACCUGUUAGCAAGGGCCGGGCAAGACCGGUGCCAGCCGCCGCGGUAACACCGGCGGCCCGAGUGGUGAUCGUGAUUAUUGGGUCUAAAGGGUCCGUAGCCGGUUUGGUCAGUCCUCCGGGAAAUCUGAUAGCUCAACUAUUAGGCUAUCGGGGGAUACUACCAGACUUGGAACCGGGAGAGGUAAGAGGUACUACAGGGGUAGGAGUGAAAUCUU